CCUACGGGGGGCAGCAGUCGAGAAUCAUUCACAAUGGGGGAAACCCUGAUGGUGCGACGCCGCGUGGGUGAAGAAGGGUUUCGGCUCGUAAAGCUCUGUUGUUGGAGAAGAACGUGCGUGAGAGUAACUGUUCACGCAGUGACGGUAUCCAACCAGAAAGUCACGGCUAACUACGUGCCAGCAGCCGCGGUAAUACGUAGGUGGCAAGCGUUAUCCGGAUUUAUUGGGCGUAAAGCGAGCGCAGGCGGUUGCUUAGGUCUGAUGUGAAAGCCUUCGGCUUAACCGAAGAAGUGCAUCGGAAACCGGGCGACUUGAGUGCAGAAGAGGACAGUGGAACUCCAUGUGUAGCGGUGGAAUGCGUAGAUAUAUGGAAGAACACCAGUGGCGAAGGCGGCUGUCUGGUCUGCAACUGACGCUGAGGCUCGAAAGCAUGGGUAGCGAACAGGAUUAGAUACCCUUGUAGUC
This 465-nucleotide ribosomal RNA is filed under the name uncultured bacterium. Its description in RNAcentral is "partial 16S ribosomal RNA". It matches the Rfam family "Bacterial small subunit ribosomal RNA", at positions 338 to 795 of the family's 1533-position model. The record is from RNAcentral.